Non-coding RNA from Pseudonaja textilis, 514 nucleotides. NCBI's taxonomy places the organism in Eukaryota, Metazoa, Chordata, Lepidosauria, Squamata, Elapidae. The record is from RefSeq and is a predicted model, not a curated record.
UACCAGGCUGAAAGGCGAAUGGCAAUGGCGCUGAGCUCGGAGCCCUUGUCGGAUCGCUCGGUCAAGCUAGCGGUGUUACUAGCCUUCGCUUCGGGAGUGGUGGUGGGAUGGCAGGCGAACAGAGCGCGGAGGUAUUACCUCAAGUGGCGGAAGCGACGGCUGCAGGACCAACUUGCAGCCACUCAGAAUAAGUUGGAACUCGCAUGAAGCGCUGAAUGCAAAUAGAACCCUCAAAAAGAACUACAAUCAAGUUUCCAUAUUUGAUGGAUAUUAAUGGACUUCUUUAAAAAAUCUUCAUGCAUAAACUUGGUUUGGAGACAUCUAUGAAAUUGCCAUCUCAUUUCAUGGGACUGGUAUUUACAAAAAAGUUUGACAUCUGAAGAAAUAAGUCAUCUGUCUGAUGAAACGUGUCUAUAUGAACAGCGUAACAUUCCCUACUUGGACAAAUAAGGAUGUUUUAUGAAUUGGAUCUUCUUAACAAAGUUUAAAUAGAAAAUAAACAAGUGCAAUGCAA